UUGAGUGAGUGGCGAACUGGUGAGUAACACGUGGGAAACCUGCCCAGAAGCGGGGGAUAACACCUGGAAACAGAUGCUAAUACCGCAUAACAACUUGGACCGCAUGGUCCGAGUUUGAAAGAUGGCUUCGGCUAUCACUUUUGGAUGGUCCCGCGGCGUAUUAGCUAGAUGGUGGGGUAACGGCUCACCAUGGCAAUGAUACGUAGCCGACCUGAGAGGGUAAUCGGCCACAUUGGGACUGAGACACGGCCCAAACUCCUACGGGAGGCAGCAGUAGGGAAUCUUCCACAAUGGACGAAAGUCUGAUGGAGCAACGCCGCGUGAGUGAAGAAGGGUUUCGGCUCGUAAAACUCUGUUGUUAAAGAAGAACAUAUCUGAGAGUAACUGUUCAGGUAUUGACGGUAUUUAACCAGAAAGCCACGGCUAACUACGUGCCAGCAGCCGCGGUAAUACGUAGGUGGCAAGCGUUGUCCGGAUUUAUUGGGCGUAAAGCGAGCGCAGGCGGUUUUUUAAGUCUGAUGUGAAAGCCUUCGGCUCAACCGAAGAAGUGCAUCGGAAACUGGGAAACUUGAGUGCAGAAGAGGACAGUGGAACUCCAUGUGUAGCGGUGAAAUGCGUAGAUAUAUGGAAGAACACCAGUGGCGAAGGCGGCUGUCUGGUCUGUAACUGACGCUGAGGCUCGAAAGUAUGGGUAGCAAACAGGAUUAGAUACCCUGGUAGUCCAUACCGUAAACGAUGAAUGCUAAGUGUUGGAGGGUUUCCGCCCUUCAGUGCUGCAGCUAACGCAUUAAGCAUUCCGCCUGGGGAGUACGGCCGCAAGGCUGAAACUCAAAGGAAUUGACGGGGGCCCGCACAAGCGGUGGAGCAUGUGGUUUAAUUCGAAGCUACGCGAAGAACCUUACCAGGUCUUGACAUACUAUGCAAAUCUAAGAGAUUAGACGUUCCCUUCGGGG
This 953-nucleotide ribosomal RNA is filed under the name uncultured Lactiplantibacillus sp. RNAcentral describes it as "bacterial SSU rRNA". It matches the Rfam family "Bacterial small subunit ribosomal RNA", at positions 87 to 1025 of the family's 1533-position model. The record is from RNAcentral. Lineage: Bacteria; Bacillati; Bacillota; Bacilli; Lactobacillales; Lactobacillaceae.